This is a long non-coding RNA of Mustela erminea (ermine), 1742 nucleotides long. RefSeq lists it as uncharacterized. The record is from RefSeq and is a predicted model, not a curated record. The transcript is spliced from 3 exons. NCBI's taxonomy places the organism in Eukaryota, Metazoa, Chordata, Mammalia, Carnivora, Mustelidae.
CACUCGUUUUAUCCUAUCCGAUGUCCCUACCGCGUCCAACCCACGACUCUUGUGUCCAGGGCGUAGCUGUGAAGAGAAUAGGAGUUAUUUUCAAGGUCUCAAGAAAGGGAAAAGGCGCACUACUUUGCAAGGCUACUAAGAUCAAAGAGUCACUCUUCCCUCUGAGGGCGGAGAACGCGGAGGGAUUCUUCAGACACACCUCGUUUCCGGUGUCAGCUUGGGGGGCGGGGAGAGAAGUCUUUCAGCCCAAGGAAGGUCUUUAUUGUGAUGUCCGAGGCCGCCUGGUUAUCGCGCGAGAUGCUUGUGGAGAGCGAGCGUCGAGCUGAUUGGUUAGUCUUGAUGCAGUUCCGUGAAGACAUUUUUUGUUAAACUGGUAGCCGUCACUCUCCCAAUUCUGUAACUGCCGGGAGUAUCGUAACCACUUCCCAGCGCGUCCGCAUAAUAGCACUAAUGGGGGAGAAGCUUGAGAACCCAAGCCCACUCGCGGAAGUUCACGUUUGGAAGCAGCAGUUCAGGUCAAGGCCUGCAACUUGCUCUCCAGUGGGGAGCUGUGAAGGGGGCCAAGGAAAGAACUCAGGUCUUCUGAUCGUGGACUCCCCACUCCACAUCUUCCUUACAUCAUCCUGCUUCCUCAGAGGCCGCCUAUUCUUGACGAGGAUGAAACCAGCAACAACUGGUACAUGCAAAGCACACUGCUUACUGGGACAAGAACGGUCUCUCUACUGCCUUGGAGGAUCACAAAUGUCAGGAUAUAACAAAGUUGUCUGAUCCUUAUCUCUGAACCAUUACACAAGUCUUCCAUGGUGUAACUAAGGACCCACGGGGUACGUCCUCCUUUUCCUGUAUCAGGAGACCUACCAGUGCCUCCUUAUGGACGACCAUGCGGAAGGUUGAGAAUUAAAGAAAGUAACAUUGUCCCAGUUUUGACAUCUCAGAGCCACAGAUGAUUGACUCCAGUGGCAGCUUGUCCCAUCCGUUCUAUCAUGGAGACCCAGAUCAAGCACUUCAAAGGUUCUCCUGGCUGAAAAUGAAGAAGCAGGAUUAUUCCUGUAAGAAAAUGUUUCAUACCACACACAGAAGUCAAAGCUCUUGGAAAGGAGACGUUUAUUUUUUUCUCUCUAUGCGGUGCAAGGUCCUCAUGUUCCCCAGCUUUAUUUCCUCCCUAAGGAGAAAAAAGAUAGCAGUUCUCCAGGUCUCGGGGCUAAGCUGCUUCCAUGUGGACCUAGCAAAGGUGGGACAGGGCUGGUGAUAGAUCCCAGAUCUACCAGCUGAGUGCAUUCACUGCUGCUGAAGGGCAGGCAAGUGACUGGAAGGCAAGUAGUGGACUCAGCCUCAGGGACCAAGAAUUUAAAGACUCCAAGGUGAUCAGAAUGAAAAGGUAAACAUGCUGGACAGUUAGCCUCAGAAUCAACAGUGUGUAAAAGAGCCAUAGCCUGACAGUCCUAGUGCUAGGUGUCCUUACUAUUCUCUUUGGCCUUGAUUUUUAGCAGGAAGGGCAGAGUGUUAACCAAUCCUGUGAGCAGUUUUCAGCCAGGGUCACAGUAUCAAGGAAGUGUGCCAUUGCAAAGGACUAAGACACGUGGGGGGGGGGGGCUAUAUGCCUAUAUGCAUAACUCCUCCUGGGCCCUCUCCAGGACAUUGUGAUCCUGAAGCUGAUUCCUUACCAAAACCAUGUGAGUUCUCAGGGGGCACCUGGAUGGCUCAGUCAGUCAAAUGGCUGGCUCUUAACCUCAGGGUCCUGA